UGGGGAAUAUUGCACAAUGGGCGAAAGCCUGAUGCAGCAACGCCGCGUGCGGGAAGAAGGCCCUAGGGUUGUAAACCGCUUUCAGCAGGGAAGAAAAUGACGGUACCUGCAGAAGAAGGUGCGGCCAACUACGUGCCAGCAGCCGCGGCGACACGUAGGCACCAAGCGUUGUCCGGAUUUAUUGGGCGUAAAGAGCUCGUAGGCGGUUUAGUAAGUCGGGUGUGAAAACUCUGGGCUCAACCCAGAGACGCCACCCGAUACUGCUAUGACUUGAGUACGGUAGGGGAGCGGGGAAUUCCUGGUGUAGCGGUGAAAUGCGCAGAUAUCAGGAGGAACACCAGUGGCGAAGGCGCCGCUCUGGGCCGAAACUGACGCUGAGGAGCGAAAGCGUGGGUAGCAAACAGGAUUAGAUACCCUGGUAGUCCACGCCGUAAACGUUGGGCACUAGGUGUGGGUCUCAACCACGAGAUCCGCGCCGUCGCUAACGCAUUAAG
Molecule: ribosomal RNA, 494 nt
Filed under: uncultured Actinomycetes bacterium
Lineage: Bacteria; Bacillati; Actinomycetota; Actinomycetes
Description: bacterial SSU rRNA
Rfam family: Bacterial small subunit ribosomal RNA
Source: RNAcentral